CCAGGGCAGACCGGAAGACCCGGCUGUCAGUCACUGCUGAGAGGACUUGCCCAUUGGACAGGGCCAAACCGGAACCAGAACCGUGGAGAAUGGACCCCUCCUGCCCCAGGAGGAUCCCCCCAGGGCAGACCGGAAGACCCGGCUGUCAGUCACUGCUGAGAGGACUUGCCCAUUGGACAGGGCCAAACCGGAACCAGAACCGUGGAGAAUGGACCCCUCCUGCCCCAGGAGGAUCCCCCCAGGGCAGACCGGAAGACCCGGCUGUCAGUCAUUGCUGAGAGGACUUGCCCAUUGGACAGGGCCAAACCGGAACCAGCACCGCAGCAGACACCACACCAGGAAGGAACGCAGCAGCGCGGGGCGUCAGCGAGGGAAAGGGCUUGUGCCGUGUGGGGUCCGCCGUGGGCUGAGACUCAGUGUGUCCGCAGCAGGUUCAGCGACCUCCAGGCUCGUUGGCAGGUGGAGUUCUGUGGCUUUGCUGGGGGAGUCGCAGAGGCAUCUUGGCGGGACCCCCAAAACCUUCAAACAAAUUUGCAAAAAGAUGAAACAUAACUUUCUACAAAUAUAGAGUGAACACGUGUGCUAGAUUUAGCGAGCUCGUUAGCGAAGAGCCAGAAGGAGGCUGCAGCUCGUGCCCAUGUUCCUCGUCUGAAAUAUCUUUCUGGUGGGCUGAGCUGCGUCUGAGAGUUUACACAAGAAGUCACACUGACCGUUCCUACAAGGUGGCAGAACAUUCCAGAACUCCUUGACCACAUUCUCCACAUGGGCCUGUGACAGUGAAACAGCUAAAGAACGGACACAACCAGCUCCAUUGUUGUUGAAGGGGCCUGUACCCGCUCCUGCACGUAGGCCAGGAUAAUUUUAGAGCACUGAGAUAAAACACAAAACCAGCGAUCAUGCAGUUUUUGAAACUAACUCUGGGAUUAAAAGGGAAGUAUGUAAACAGCUAACUAUGUUUUGUUAAGGAUUUAUAGAGACGGGGAGGUUUAGCUACCGUCACAUGAGAGACCAUUAUGCACGGACAAAGAAGUUUUGCAAACUUCCCCCAGACGCUGGUUGGAGCCCAGACAAUUGCGAUUGUCAGUCCCCUUCUUUCCCUCUCACAUAGAAGACAAGCAAGGCAAAGCCCACAUAAUUCCGAGAUGGAUCUCUGGGACGUUAGUUUCCACCAUCUUCUCAAUUUUCUGACUCUCCGAGAUAAAGUCUCCUUUCUUGCCCCAACUCCGUGUCUCUCGAUGUAUUGGCUGCCGUGUGGCCGGCAGAGCAAGUCUGGACUCCGUCACAUCCUCCCCAUGCACCUGACCUCAGUUAGAAAUGAAAGGGUUCCACCGUCCGUCAUGGCUGCGCCUGCAGGAACAGCGCGUGGAGGAGCCAGCUGGCUUUGGAUCCUGCUCUCUGAAGCCCGCUGCAUUCUGAGGGUCCGUUUGGAAGAGGAUGCAAAGCCUGUGUUGUCUGUGGUGUUGCCCAUUUCCAGGGAUAUGAGGCCAUCGUCCAAGAGAAGCACACACAGGGAGCCUCUGGCAGUGGGAAAGAGCCACAGUGAAGCCUGCCCUGCUUUUUCACAGAGAAAUGUUAAGAACCCAAUAAAGAUCCUCCAAGUCGAAGUAUUUGUGAGACGGGAAGUGCUCUCAAAACCCAGGGCUGAGGUCAGUGGAGCUGCGAGAGAGGGGGCAGGUAGACCCAAGCAACUGGAAAAUGGGAAAACGUCACUGUACUAACAUAAAAGCCAGCGUGUGGAUACGUAGAGAAAAAUAAAUGUAUUUAUACAUGAAGUAAUUUUAUCCUCAGAGGCUUUAGCUGAGGCGUUCUGCGGCUGCGGGGAGAAGGGGACUUGUUUCAGAUGAACAGUGUCCGUCUCUAAGGGCCACCUGCGCCUCAGCCGGCGCCCAAGGGCACUUUGAGCCCUGGAGAGGUGGCCCCUCAGCCACCCACACGCCCACAGGCAACAGUCACAAACUUGGGACACAAAAGUAAAAAACAAGUGUGGGGCGCGCCGGAGGGAGCCCUGAGGAGGCUGACCCUGGACGGAGCCCACACCUGCGGGAAGGGGUGGCAGGGCCAGCCGCCUGCUUUCUGCUGCUUUUCCCUAGAGGACGGCCUCAGUCCAAGCCAAGCAGAGGCAGCAAGAAUCUGGACUAAAAGCCUGCAACUUACUGCCUCGAAGAGCCAAGGAACAGAAUUUGGGCAGCUCAGAAAUCCAGGAAAGGAGAAAGCCAGAGAAGGGGAGUCCUACCUUCCGUGGUCACCUAAAGCUCCCGACACGAAUAAUCAGCACAGCCCUUACACUAGUCACCAUUGUAAUCCUAGGCUUGACUUACGUAGGAGGCCCCAGCUGGGCUGAAAGCAAAGUUGAGCAAAAUCAUUCAGUCAGCCUCCCGACUGCCAUGCCUCACGAGUUUUAAAAAUCACGUUGUGAGCCUGAGUCAGUCCUUCAAGGCAGAUCCUGAGUGGCUGACUGGUCCUAAAUUCAAAACAGAGCCACGGGGCCAUUGGCUGGAAAACCCACGUGCUUGUGGAACUUCGGGACUCUCUGCUCCUGUUCCCACGCCACCCGAAUCAACAGCUGCCAGGAAAUCCCAUGUCACCUCCUGGACCUUAACCCACAGACGGUACCUCCCUUGACCAAUCAUGACUAAACAAGCACUGGCCAAUUAAAACUAAGCAAGCGUGCAUCCCUCAUUUGAAUAAGCAGACCAGAGUGGGAACCGGGGGGGAAACAACGCUUCUCCCGGUUUUCUUGGCGCACACCGAUGUUUUGUACCAAAGGCUGUGUUUCUCCAGCUGGCAAACUGCUUGCUAGAAUGAAGUCUUUUUUUUUUUUUUUUUAAAGAAAAUCCUUUUUUGUAAACUUUUUGACAAUAUCUACAUGGCCUAGCAGCGUAUCAUGAUGUGGUGAUGUUAUUUAUUCCGAAAUUAUGCUGAGAGAAACUGGUUAUUGGCAGAAAUUGAGUAUAUAUACACAUAGUGAAACGGUGACUGUAGUCAGACAAAUUAACAUAUCCAUCAUCUUACAUAGUUACUCAUUUUUUGUGUGGCAAGAACACCUAAAAUCUACUUUUUCAGCGAAAAUUCCCAAUACAGUGAGGUCUUAUUCCUCUAGCCCUCGUGCUGCCCUCCGGACUGGCCUCCUCCUUACCUGCUUUGUCUCCCAUUUCUUCCCCAGCCCUGGGAACCACCGUGUUAUUCUCUAUCUCUGUGCAUUCAACUGUGAGGAGACAGAGGCCACAAGAGGCUGAGUGACCUGCGGGGUUGCUGGGUGAAGACGCCGGGAUUUGGACUCAGGCCCUGACAGGUUCCUGGGCCCUAGGAGAUGGGAUUUUGUCCUAAGCACGGAUGUUGAAAGACAGUUUCUACAUCUAUAUUAGGUUUGAACCGCCAGGUCCAACUGACAUGCGGAUUUUCGCUGGCCUCUGCCACCUCUGAGACAGCAAGACCAACCCUCCUCUUCCUCCUUCUCCUCCUCAGCCCACUCAGUGUGAAGACGAAGAGGAUGAAGACCUUCAUGACGGUCCACUUCCAUUUAAUGAAUAGUAAGUCUCCUGGGUAAUGCCAUUGACUGUUUAUGUUACAGGUAAGUCUCCUGGGUAACAGUCAGCUAUGAGUAGUUACAUUUUGGAGGAGUCAAAAGUUAUACUCAGAUUUUUGACCACGUGGGAGGUUGACAUCCCUAACCCCCACAUUGUUCAAGGUUCAAGUGAACAAUUAACUGCACAUAUGUAAGGCAUGCAAUUUGACAAAUUCUGACAUUUGUAUACACUAGUGAAACCAUCACCACAAUCAUAACGGACACAAACCACAAUUCCUCAUGGCCAUUACUGCCGGAUCACUCUUGCAGGAAUACAGACAAGAAAAUGAUCAAAGCCAAUCUGCAGUGAGUUUCUAUUUCAUACCCACCAGAAUGGCUGCAAUAAAAAAAAAAAGCCAGGUAAUAACAAGUGUUGGUGAGGAUGUGGGGAAAUCAGAGCGCUUGUACACUGCCGAUUGGAAUGAAAAUGGUGCAACCGACUUGGAAAACCGUCUAGCGGCUUCUCCAAAAGCUACCGGUGGAGUUACCGUAUGACCCAGCAAUUUCUUUUCUGGAGAACUGAAAACAUAUGUCCACAUAGAAACUCGUACUCAAAUGUUCACAGUGGCAUUAUUCAUGAUCGCCAAAAAGUAGAACAACCCAAGUGUCCAUCAGCUGGUGGCUGGGUAAACAAAGUGCAGUGCCUCCAUAUUGCGGCAUAUUCAGCCACGGGCAGGAAUGAAGGGCUGCCACGCACUGCCACACGCACGGACCUUGAGAGCCUCGUGCUUGAGUCAAUAAGCCAAAGGCCACGUGUUAUGUGACCCCACUUCUGUGAAAUGUCCGCAAUAGACAAAUCCAGAGAGAGUAAAUUCGAGGUUGCCUAGGGCAGGGAUUGGGGAGGGUGGUGAGUAGGGGAGGUAGGUAAAGGGCACAGAAUUUCUUUCUGGGGUGAGGUGACAUAUUCUAAACCUGAGUGUGGUGCUGGUUGCACAGCUGCGUGAUACAGUAGAAGCAGUGGAAUUACAUGCUUUAAAUGUGUGAAUUGUGUGGCCUGUGAAUUAUAGCUCGAUCAAGCUGUUCUUUACAGAAGUGCUGAUGACCGGUAACACCACCGAGUCUCCACGGUUGCUCUGCGGAGCCCUCUGUGCCCCAUCCCAUUUAGGGGCCCUAGAUAGACGCUGCUGUUUCUGCAUGAGGAAGCUUAGUGAGGUUCAGGAGCUUGUCCAACAUCCCCCCACUUAGCCAGUAAGGGGCAGAAUCUGGUGAUUAAAAAAACACACAAAAAAAUCCCUAGCUUUCUUAUGGUGUAAUUGACAUAUAAUAAA
Molecule: long non-coding RNA, 4833 nt
Organism: Macaca mulatta (Rhesus monkey)
Lineage: Eukaryota; Metazoa; Chordata; Mammalia; Primates; Cercopithecidae
Source: RefSeq, a predicted model, not a curated record